GAUGAACGCUGGCGGCGUGCCUAAUACAUGCAAGUCGAGCGAACAGACGAGGAGCUUGCUCCUCUGACGUUAGCGGCGGACGGGUGAGUAACACGUGGAUAACCUACCUAUAAGACUGGGAUAACUUCGGGAAACCAGAGCUAAUACCGGAUAAUAUAUCCAACCGCAUGGUUCAAUAGUGAAAGACGGUUUUCCUUUCACUAAUAGAUGGACUCGCGUCGCAUUAGCUAGUUGGUAAGGUAACGGCUUACCAAGGCAACGAUGCGUAGCCGACCUGAGAGGGUGAUCGGCCACCCUGGAACUGAGACACGGUCCAGACUCCUAAGGGAGGCAGCAGUAGGGAAUCUUCCGCAAUGGGCGAAAGCCUGACGGAGCAAAGCCGCGUGAGUGAUGAAGGUCUUCGGAGCGUAAAACUCUGUGAUUAGGGAAGAACAAAUGUGUAAGUAACUAUGCACGUCUUGACGGUACCUAAUCAGAAAGCCACGGCUAACUACGUG
RNAcentral lists this ribosomal RNA (497 nucleotides) under uncultured bacterium. Its description in RNAcentral is "partial 16S ribosomal RNA". It matches the Rfam family "Bacterial small subunit ribosomal RNA", at positions 28 to 507 of the family's 1533-position model. The record is from RNAcentral.